UGGGUAGGGGAGCGUUCUGUAAGCCUGUGAAGGUGGCCUGUGAGGGUUGCUGGAGGUAUCAGAAGUGCGAAUGCUGACAUAAGUAACGAUAAAGCGGGUGAAAAGCCCGCUCGCCGGAAGACCAAGGGUUCCUGUCCAACGUUAAUCGGGGCAGGGUGAGUCGACCCCUAAGGCGAGGCCGAAAGGCGUAGUCGAUGGGAAACGGGUUAAUAUUCCCGUACUUGGUGUUACUGCGAAGGGGGGACGGAGAAGGCUAUGUUGGCCGGGCGACGGUUGUCCCGGUUUAAGCGUGUAGGUGUGUGUUCCAGGUAAAUCCGGUUCACUUUAACACUGAGGCGUGAUGACGAGGCACUACGGUGCUGAAGCAACAAAUGCCCUGCUUCCAGGAAAAGCCUCUAAGCAUCAGGUAACAUCAAAUCGUACCCCAAACCGACACAGGUGGUCAGGUAGAGAAUACCAAGGCGCUUGAGAGAACUCGGGUGAAGGAACUAGGCAAAAUGGUGCCGUAACUUCGGGAGAAGGCACGCUGACAUGUAGGUGAAGUGAUUUACUCAUGGAGCUGAAGUCAGUCGAAGAUACCAGCUGGCUGCAACUGUUUAUUAAAAACACAGCACUGUGCAAACACGAAAGUGGACGUAUACGGUGUGACGCCUGCCCGGUGCCGGAAGGUUAAUUGAUGGGGUCAGCGCAAGCGAAGCUCCUGAUCGAAGCCCCGGUAAACGGCGGCCGUAACUAUAACGGUCCUAAGGUAGCGAAAUUCCUUGUCGGGUAAGUUCCGACCUGCACGAAUGGCGUAAUGAUGGCCAGGCUGUCUCCACCCGAGACUCAGUGAAAUUGAACUCGCUGUGAAGAUGCAGUGUACCCGCGGCAAGACGGAAAGACCCCGUGAACCUUUACUAUAGCUUGACACUGAACAUUGAGCCUUGAUGUGUAGGAUAGGUGGGAGGCUUUGAAGUGUGGACGCCAGUCUGCAUGGAGCCGACCUUGAAAUACCACCCUUUAAUGUUUGAUGUUCUAACGUGGACCCGUAAUCCGGGUUGCGGACAGUGUCUGGUGGGUAGUUUGACUGGGGCGGUCUCCUCCUAAAGAGUAACGGAGGAGCACGAAGGUUGGCUAAUCCUGGUCGGACAUCAGGAGGUUAGUGCAAUGGCAUAAGCCAGCUUGACUGCGAGCGUGACGGCGCGAGCAGGUGCGAAAGCAGGUCAUAGUGAUCCGGUGGUUCUGAAUGGAAGGGCCAUCGCUCAACGGAUAAAAGGUACUCCGGGGAUAACAGGCUGAUACCGCCCAAGAGUUCAUAUCGACGGCGGUGUUUGGCACCUCGAUGUCGGCUCAUCACAUCCUGGGGCUGAAGUAGGUCCCAAGGGUAUGGCUGUUCGCCAUUUAAAGUGGUACGCGAGCUGGGUUUAGAACGUCGUGAGACAGUUCGGUCCCUAUCUGCCGUGGGCGCUGGAGAACUGAGGGGGGCUGCUCCUAGUACGAGAGGACCGGAGUGGACGCAUCACUGGUGUUCGGGUUGUCAUGCCAAUGGCACUGCCCGGUAGCUAAAUGCGGAAGAGAUAAGUGCUGAAAGCAUCUAAGCACGAAACUUGCCCCGAGAUGAGUUCU
RNAcentral lists this ribosomal RNA (1605 nucleotides) under Salmonella enterica subsp. enterica serovar Derby. RNAcentral describes it as "bacterial LSU rRNA". It matches the Rfam family "Bacterial large subunit ribosomal RNA", at positions 1225 to 2812 of the family's 2925-position model. Lineage: Bacteria; Pseudomonadati; Pseudomonadota; Gammaproteobacteria; Enterobacterales; Enterobacteriaceae. The record is from RNAcentral. RNAcentral also lists the same sequence under 3 other names.